AUAUAACUCAAACGCUUCAACAAUAUUUGUCUCUGAAAACAGUCCUGAAAGUUUCUUGAAGUUAAAGUUAUUAUAUCCACAAGAUAGCUGCAUUAUUGGUAAACAUCUAGGAUCUUAGAAAGCUGUUGUUUUUUAUUUUUAAUGUUUCUAUGUAUAAGAAAUAAGAAGUUUCAUCACAACCCAUAAAGUAGUUUUUCGGAAAUUGUGAUAAGUAGUAAUUUCCAGAAUUCAACAAUCAAGUUAUUAAUUACAUACUGAGUCAAUUAAUCUACCCAGUAGAUCUAUAUAUUAAUCAGAGAGCACUUAAAUACCUUCAAUUACAUUGUAGUCGCUUGAUUCAAUUAACGGAAAUCGAAAUAUUGAAUGUCAAAGAAUAUUAACUUACUGUAUUGUCUCUUAUGAUAAAUUGGAGACUAUUUGAAAGAAAAAUAGACGAUAUCUCUCCAGUCUUUGAAAUGAAAUUCACCUCGAAAGUGGAGAUAUUUCGUAUUUAUUUCCAUUUACAAUAAUAACAGAAUUUACUUUGCACCCAACCACAGCCCUACCACCAGUGACUGGUGGGUUUUUUUAUACUCUUUGCAUUUUGGUUCUGUUAACUACUAGAAGAUCGAUAUCCAAAGGUUCUGAUUGAGACUAUGAUUCGAAAAUUGGUUUUCAUGGUUGAGUAUUGGAAUAGAUUAGAGAUAUCAAAUUGAAUUCUAUAAAAGAAACUCAGGAACCAAUUCAAGGAAAGUUGUGAGAACAGCAAAUGUUAUGCCAACGAUACUCCCCUGUACAGGAGUCAAUUCAAUCAUUGGAAUUACUACAUUUUUGAGAAUCAUAGUGAUUCUAGAUUAAUCUGUGGUUCUUCAAGGCUUGGAAUGAGCUUGUAAAAUAUAAUUAUCACACAAGAGACAAUACAACAUGAUUUUUCAUACACAACAUGAAGGAGAAAGAGAAAAUAGCUCACGCCUCACUCACUUCAUUCAGGUGCUUAGUUUUUUGCAUAAAUACAAGCGAAAUUAUAUUGCCAAGAUCAUUUCGUAGCCGGAGUUGAGAAUCCUUUUAAAUGGGGAUGAAUGGCAAUUUAGUUUUUUAUCUCUUUUCUAAUUUGAACCAUAUAGAUUAAUUUUGAGGUCUCACAGCAUUUUACAAGUCUUCUUUAGUUUUAGCAUUUUGCACUUUCUCUGAUAUCGUAUCAAUCUUAUUCCGGUCGCGUAUUAAUGGGGAGGAUAUUAUUUUAUUACUUUUCCGACAGUUGCAUAACUUGGCAAACAGAUAAUGUAUUCAAGAGUUUCAAGUCUCGUUUAAUCUGGUAAAUUUCAUAAGGACGGCAAAAAAUCGAUCGUCCAAAAAUCGAUGUGUGUAACUGGCUUAACUAUCACUGGCUUCACGAAGCUCAAGAAAAUAGUUUUCUUAUUAUAAUAUGAAAUUAUCAGAUUGUAGGUAUGGAGGUUUGAUAUUAGAAUUCCGGUACAGAAAGUUUUUCAGUAGUAGAAUCGCUUAUUUCUCAGGAAUACUUACUUCUACCAGAAUCGGUGUUUAUUAUUCGAUCAGAUCAGAGCAUGAUCACAACAAUAACAUUUCUUUCUUAAUUAUAAUUUUAUUUUGUGGCUUGAAGUUGAGUGCAAAUAGUUUUUAGUUACACCAUAUCGAGACAAAGGUGUAAGUUGGUGUACUGCACGCGCAGUAAGAAAGGGACAUUCUUGCCAAAUCUCAGAAUUCUAUCAACGCGUUUGUUUGGCCGUAAAUGCAUUACAUACAGACAGACGAAAGAAAAUCCGAGUUAUCAUAGAACUCACUGCGUUCGGCCAAUUAUCGUUAUUCAAAAAUUGCAUUCAAUCUUUAUUCUCAUUAAUUAAUUCUUCAUAUCUUGUAAAAUUCGUUCAAUAAUAAGAAAUAUUGCCAUUCAAUCUAAAUUAGUGUAUAAGCCAGCAGUGUAUUAUAUUGUAACAUAACAUAGGCCUGCAUGAAUAAAGAACUCUAAUCUAAUCUAAUCUAAUCCGUAAUCCCUACGCUGUAUGUUCUCUUUUCAACUGCAAAUGUCUUUAUUGAAUUCUUCAAUGUUGUUUUCCAUCACGAACUGCUUAUUAUUAAAUCUCUUUUUGCUUUUAGAAAAAACGACUAGCAGUCAGAUAUUUUUACAAUAAAUGAAUAAAUCACUCACUGGACAACGAGAUCUUUCGGCAGUUCCGCCAUCUUCUUGGUUGUCUUCUAUUGCUAUACUUUUUAGUACCGUACGGUAUAUUGUUUGAGUCUCUCCCCCUCCUACAAGCUCCUACUUUUGUAAUAGUAUGUAGGCCUAACUUUCACCAUUGUCCACGGCCGUGCUCUCUCUCUCGAAACUCACUCCUUCCUUGUCGAAGUAUUUUCGCGCCUUUUUGAGUUUUGUUUGCCUUUUCGCUAUAUAGUUAUUGGACUUGAUCUUCUUGUCUAAUGCAGUCGCAAGGGUUAGUUUCAGUUCAUCACGUAUUGAAUACAGAGUACAUUUCCUGUUUCCAGUGUUUUAUCCAGGCAUUUAUUUGUUUUGAAGUCACGUGAUCUUCUAUCAUCAAUGAGACGUAUGUCGCGUCAUGCGCCGAUAAAGCUUCGGAAGGGCGCACAAUCACAAGUAUCAUGGGGAAGCUGGUGACCCUUCCUUACCAUCCAAAGCAAGGACGACCAUAAGAGAGAGAAAAACCUUUCAAGGACCUUCUGAUAACUGAAGUUAUGAUUGAAGCUGCUACAAACCGGUGCUGGCCGAAGGCAGAAUUGAAGCAGGUCUAGUUGAAAGCGGCUUCGUGGCUUGCACAAGCCCAAUCCAAGUUGGACAAAAUGAAUCAGCCAUCAACACCAGCUACAAUAACAAUAAUCGACACCGAUUGUGAAGAUGAACCUCUCGAAUAGAUAAUAAUAUAAUAGUAGUGACAGAAAAGAUCAUAAAACGUGUCUACAUGUUCAAUUUACUGAUAUCAUAAACAAUAAAUUAGUUAUUGAUUAUAAUUACGGUUUUUAAUUGAAUAAUCAAUCCCUGAAAC
This is a long non-coding RNA of Nilaparvata lugens (brown planthopper), 2996 nucleotides long. RefSeq lists it as uncharacterized. The transcript is spliced from 4 exons. The record is from RefSeq and is a predicted model, not a curated record. Lineage: Eukaryota; Metazoa; Arthropoda; Insecta; Hemiptera; Delphacidae.